GACGAACGCUGGCGGCGUGCCUAAUACAUGCAAGUAGAACGCACAGUUUAUACCGUAGCUUGCUACACCAUAAACUGUGAGUUGCGAACGGGUGAGUAACGCGUAGGUAACCUGCCUGGUAGCGGGGGAUAACUAUUGGAAACGAUAGCUAAUACCGCAUAAUAUUAAUUAUUGCAUGAUAAUUGAUUGAAAGAUGCAAUUGCAUCACUACCAGAUGGACCUGCGUUGUAUUAGCUAGUAGGUGAGGUAACGGCUCACCUAGGCGACGAUACAUAGCCGACCUGAGAGGGUGAUCGGCCACACUGGGACUGAGACACGGCCCAGACUCCUACGGGAGGCAGCAGUAGGGCAUCUUCGGCAAUGGACGAAAGUCUGACCGAGCAACGCCGCGUGAGUGAAGAAGGUUUUCGGAUCGUAAAGCUCUGUUGUAAGAGAAGAACGGGUGUGAGAGUGGAAAGUUCACACUGUGACGGUAUCUUACCAGAAAGGGACGGCUAACUACGUG
This 505-nucleotide ribosomal RNA is filed under the name uncultured bacterium. RNAcentral describes it as "partial 16S ribosomal RNA". It matches the Rfam family "Bacterial small subunit ribosomal RNA", at positions 28 to 507 of the family's 1533-position model. The record is from RNAcentral.